UACCUUACCUGGCAGGGGAGAUACCAUGAUCAUGAAGGUGGUUUUCCCAGGGUGAGGCUCAUCCAUUGCACUGCGGGUGUGCUGACCCCUGCGAUUUCCCCAAAUGCGGGAAACUCGACUGCAUAAUUUGUGGUAGUGGGGGACUGCGUUCGCGCUUAA
Molecule: small nuclear RNA, 159 nt
Filed under: Chelydra serpentina (North American snapping turtle)
Lineage: Eukaryota; Metazoa; Chordata; Testudines; Chelydridae
Description: U1 spliceosomal RNA (ENSCSRG00000003488.1)
Rfam family: U1 spliceosomal RNA
About the family: U1 is a small nuclear RNA (snRNA) component of the spliceosome (involved in pre-mRNA splicing). Its 5' end forms complementary base pairs with the 5' splice junction, thus defining the 5' donor site of an intron. There are significant differences in sequence and secondary structure between metazoan and yeast U1 snRNAs, the latter being much longer (568 nucleotides as compared to 164 nucleotides in human).
Source: Rfam by way of RNAcentral